UUUCAGGUAGGUAACAUUGGUGGGAAAGAAUUUUCUGAGUCACUAGCCCCAGAUGUCUAGAAACUUCUUAUUUCAAGUAGCGGCCGUCCUGUUGUCAGAAAGAAGGCUGCUCUAUGCCUUCUGCGGCUUUAUAGGAAGAAUCCUGAUGUUGUGAAUAUUGAUGUCUGGGCUGAUCGAAUGGCACAGCUUCUAGAUGAGCGCUACCUAGGUGUGCUGACAUCUGUCAUGACUCAUGAGCCUUUUUGUUUCAUUAGUAUCCAACAAUGCGGAAGCAUAUUGGAAUUGCCUUCCAGAAUGUGUAAGAAUUAAUACUGGAGAGGCUAGCAAGAAAUCAAGAUAUUCCACAGGAAUACACUUACUACGGAAUCCCAUCUCCUUGGCUUCAGGGAUGAUGUGGCUCUGGAAAUCCUCCAACAUGAUCCCUUCGCGGUAAAAUAGUUGCAGUUCUCUCAGACUUGCAUUUUAUUCUUCGGCUAAGGUUGUUGUGCAUGUAUUUCCAUCUUUUUACAAAUCUGAUUGUCUCAUGUCUUGUUGACAUUUUGCAUGCUCUUCUGAAUUUUGAAGUCAUGUAUGUUCUAUCCAAUUUCCAUGUAAUAAGUCUCAUUGUUAAUAUCUAGGAUCAUAUCAAGUGCCCAGCCAGAGAGUAAUGGGCAGCUUGUUAAGUUUGCUACAGAGAGAGGCUCAAAAACUAGGCUUGAUGUAUGAACUCUUUGUUUUAAUCUUGAUGUAUGAACCCUUUCGUUUAAUCUCGAUGUAUGAGCUCAUGUGAUUGAA
Molecule: long non-coding RNA, 774 nt
Organism: Panicum virgatum (switchgrass)
Lineage: Eukaryota; Viridiplantae; Streptophyta; Magnoliopsida; Poales; Poaceae
Exons: 4
Source: RefSeq, a predicted model, not a curated record